Long non-coding RNA from Oreochromis niloticus (Nile tilapia), 292 nucleotides. RefSeq lists it as uncharacterized. The transcript has 2 exons. The record is from RefSeq and is a predicted model, not a curated record. NCBI's taxonomy places the organism in Eukaryota, Metazoa, Chordata, Actinopteri, Cichliformes, Cichlidae.
AGGCUGUUCUUCUUUCUCAGUAAAGAGAGACGCACAGACGAUCAGACGGAGUUCAGACCAAACUAGCAGCUUCCUCUGAGUGAGUCCAGCUACAGGAGAGAAAAGUGGAAAACUCCAACACUGCUGCUUCAAGCUGCUGACGCUCCACACACUGAAUCUUCACUCACAGACUCAAUGGCUUCCAGAUCAGAGGAGGAUCUCUGCUGUCCGGUCUGUCAGGAGGUCUUCAGAGAUCCUGUUCUUCUGUCAUGUAGCCACAGCUUCUGUAAAGACUGUCUGAAGAGAUGGUGGA